ACUACGGGGCGCUGCAGUGGGGAAUAUUGGACAAUGGGCGAAAGCCUGAUCCAGCCAUGCCGCGUGUGUGAAGAAGGCCUUCGGGUUGUAAAGCACUUUCAGUGGGGAAGAAAGCCUUGGGGCUAAUACCCUCGAGGAAGGACAUGACCCACAGAAGAAGCACCGGCUAACUCCGUGCCAGCGAGCCGCGGUAAUACGGAGGGUGCGAGCGUUAAUCGGAAUUACUGGGCGUAAAGCGCGCGUAGGCGGUCUGAUAAGCCGGUUGUGAAAGCCCCGGGCUCAACCUGGGAACGGCAUCCGGAACUGUCAGGCUAGAGUGCAGGAGAGGAAGGUAGAAUUCCCGGUGUAGCGGUGAAAUGCGUAGAGAGCGGGAGGAAUACCAGUGGCGAAGGCGGCCUUCUGGACUGACACUGACGCUGAGGUGCGAAAGCGUGGGUAGCAAACAGGAUUAGAUACCCCAGUAGUC
Molecule: ribosomal RNA, 466 nt
Filed under: Vreelandella stevensii
Lineage: Bacteria; Pseudomonadati; Pseudomonadota; Gammaproteobacteria; Oceanospirillales; Halomonadaceae
Description: partial 16S ribosomal RNA
Rfam family: Bacterial small subunit ribosomal RNA
Source: RNAcentral